UUUCCAAAGAUGGAUGCAAAUGCUGGGAAAGCAAGAGUUGAAUUGCUAGCCAUGAGGAAAACGUAAGCCUGAGCUGUUUGCUGGCCAUCUUUGCUUCCACAUGGGGAUGGCCUGCCUGGAAAUGAAGCCACACAGAGAAAACAGAAGAGCAGUGAAGAGAAGGGUAAAAGGAGAGAUCCCAUGACAUGAUUUGCACUCUUAGAUCCAGUUAUGCCUGAUGCAGGACCCACCCCUUGGACUUCCCAUUUCCAGGAGCUAAAACUAGACUGAGUUGAGUUUCUGUCACUGACAGUUGACAGAAAAUAUCAACAAUCCAGCCACAUGGAGCCUCAUGGCAGUACCACUAACCCUGGUCACCACAUGAAUACUGACCAGAGGCAUUUCACCUGAAUCAACUGUUUGUGUUCUUAACUCCAUCUCCUCAUCUGCUUCCUGGAAGACCCAACUGACAUAGAUGGUUACAAGAAAUGAUUUCCUCCUUAUAAAACUCUAGUUGCUGUCUCCUUGAUCUGGAAGCUUGUCCCUCCUUGUAACACCUGGCAGGCAUUGUCUCUUCUGGAAAGACUUUACGCCACUGCCCUCUUUUGCUGCCCUUUGACUUCUUGUAUAGAAGAUACCUAAAAAGUGUUUGCUGAAUGAAGAAAUAAAGGAUUGCUCAGGCACCACUGGCACUUUAAGUUGUUCAGCAAGUACUCGUGCCUCUUAAGAACUGGCCAAGGGCCGGGCGUGGUGGUUCAUGCCUGUAAUCCCAGCAUUUUGGGACGCCGAGGCGGGCAGAUCACGAAGUCAGGAGUUCGAGACCAGCGUGGCCAACGUGGUGAAACCCCAUCUCUACUAAAAAUACAAAAACUUAGCCGGGUGUGGUGGCCUGCGCCUGUAGUCCCAGCUACUCGGGAGGCUGAGGCACAAGAAUUGCUUGAACCCACGAGGAGGAGCUUGCAGUAAGCCGAGAUCGCGCCAUUGCACUCCAGCCUGGGCAACAGGGCAAGACUCUGUCCUGAAAGAAAAAAAAAAAAAAAAAAAAAAAGAACUGGCCGAGGUCUUAGCUGGAGCACUCUCUCUACCCUGCAUGUUUGACUGCAUUUCUGUCCAUUUUCAAUCCGUUUUGGUUAUACGUUUUUUCACACAGGUCUGUUGAACUUAGAACACCGAAGGCCUGUGUAUUUUCAUGGCUCACAGCUCAUGUUGUGUUGACCUGCCCCACUGUGGUUAAUGUUUAGCCCCUAAACCACCAGCUGAAUGUCCUUAAAUCUGAAAGAAUAAUGAACACACGCCAACAGAUAGCUUAGGUUUAUUUGGUGACUUGCGCCACAUACUUUGCGAAUAUCAUCUCAGUCAUCCUUUUAGCAUCUCUCUCAGGCACAUACUCUCCUCUGUGGUGGCUCAUGCCGGUAAUCCCAGCCCUUUGGGAGGCCGAGGCGGGCAGAUCACUUGAGGCAAGGAGUUCGAGACCAGCCUGGCCAACACGGUGAAACCCCAUCUCUACUAAAAAUACAAAAAUUAGCCGGCUAUGGUGGCAUGCGCCUGUAAUCCCAGCUGCUCGAGAGGCUGAGGCAGGAGAAUCAUUUGAACCCAGGAGGCAGAGGUUGCAGUGAGCCUAGACUGCACCAUUGCACUUCAGCCUGGGUGAGACCCCAUCUCAAAUCAAUCAAUCAAUCAAUCAAUCAAUCAAUCAAUAAGGGAAAAGCUAUCACACAGCAGAAUACAGUCCAAGGGUAACUACUGAAGGGCCAGAUCAAGGAGCAAAGUCUAUCAUGUAUCAACCUUUACAGUGUCCCCAAGGGUCAGCUGUGUAUAGGGGCCCACACAGAAUUUGGAAUCCAAAUACAUCUCUGGAUCCCCAGGCCUGUGUUUGACUCGCCAGGUAGUAAUGAGAUGUCUCCAUUUUCUGCAGGCUGAAUGAUUCCCUCAGAGCAGAAGUAUAAGCAUAUUUAUUGUUUUUCCUUCUAUCAUAAACAGUUAUUAGUUGUGGCCCUUUCUCCCUUCCAAAUAGGUGCCCAAAUUUCUGGAAGUGGAAAGGGCCCAACUUUCCCAUAUCAGGGGGUGGGCCCCACUGGGCGUGAGCCAAUCAGUGUCUUCUGUCCUGUGAGCUCCCGAUUUAUGCUGGUCUAUAACCUGAGAUGGCCUUCUCAGGAUGGACCUCCAGGGAUUGCUGGAACUUGGACUCUUGUCAGCC
This is a long non-coding RNA of Homo sapiens (human), 2176 nucleotides long. Ensembl annotates it as long intergenic non-protein coding RNA 1476. The record is from Ensembl. NCBI's taxonomy places the organism in Eukaryota, Metazoa, Chordata, Mammalia, Primates, Hominidae.